CCUACGGGAGGCAGCAGUGAGGAAUAUUGGUCAAUGGACGCAAGUCUGAACCAGCCAUGCCGCGUGCAGGAAGACGGCCCUACGGGUUGUAAACUGCUUUUAUACGGGAAUAACGCGCCUUACGUGUAGCUCUUUGCAUGUACCGUAUGAAUAAGGACCGGCUAAUUCCGUGCCAGCAGCCGCGGUAAUACGGAAGGUCCGGGCGUUAUCCGGAUUUAUUGGGUUUAAAGGGAGCGUAGGCGGUAUGUUAAGCGUGCUGUGAAAUGUCCGGGCUCAACCCGGGCCUUGCAGCGCGAACUGGCGUGCUUGAGUCGGCGGAAGGCAGGCGGAAUUCGUCGUGUAGCGGUGAAAUGCUUAGAUAUGACGAAGAACCCCGAUUGCGAAGGCAGCUUGCUGCAGCGGAACUGACGCUGAUGCUCGAAAGCGCGGGUAUCGAACAGGAUUAGAUACCCGAGUAGUC
RNAcentral lists this ribosomal RNA (460 nucleotides) under uncultured bacterium. RNAcentral describes it as "partial 16S ribosomal RNA". It matches the Rfam family "Bacterial small subunit ribosomal RNA", at positions 338 to 795 of the family's 1533-position model. The record is from RNAcentral.